AGGAGGACCCGGUUUCCCGAGUCUGGUAACUCUUGAAAUGUUUUUUCGGGGUGCUGGGCCCGGCCGGUCCGACUAUCCCCGAUCUUCGCCAUCCAGCCCCGAUACAAUAGUGUUGGCACAGCCCGUGGUUGGAACUGUCCCCGCCACUUAAUAAUCUCCAUGAUUGGAAAGGGGUGUAAAUUAUGCAAAAAAAAAUUUAAAAUGAAAUUUAAAUAUAAUCAUGUUUAUGAAAUUUACACUUACAAAUAAAACAAAUUUUAAAAAAUUAAAUACAUUGAGGCAAAUAAUCAAUCAGAUGGUCAGAUGGUAAAUUAAUCACUUACUAUCUUAAUAGAUUCGAAUUUAAUUCGGCCUAUGCCUUCAGUUUUUUAGGAUGGUCCAGGCCCAACCUGCUGAACUUCAUUCUUCAGCCUUUCGGUUGACCUCACUAAAUGUUUUGGAUCCUUAAUAAUCUCCAUGAUUGGAAAGGGGCGUAAAAAAAUUUUAGCUAGCCAGUGAUGAGCUCUAAAAAUGACAUCGCUAGAUAAAGUAUAUCCUAUGAAUGAUAUGUCAUUUUAGCUAACCUAGAAGUCCUAUUUGAUGAAAUUAAAAAUAAAAUUUAUAGAGCUACUAUAUUCACCUGGAGACAUUUUCCGUUAUCUUGAAUUAUGCUACCGAAUCAUACUGAGGAAUAUUUGGCGAAAACCACUUAUAAAUCACAUCACGAGCUGGCCAUUGCCCAUGAUAAGAUCAUUGGAAGGUUUCGGAUGAUAUUAAACAAGCCAGAUAGGACCCAUCCUUAUAAAAAUGAUGUUUCGAAUCCGGAAUUGAACCCAUUCAGAAAAAUAAUAAUCGAUUGUAUAACCACGUUUCAAUCCUAUGGACUCAGAGCAUUCAAAUAUGAUCAAAAUAUAUUUUUGUUACAAAUAUUGCCACUUUCUACUCAGGCAGAAUACUGAAUAGCGGCGCGAAACGGACCCUGCCAUCAGCCAGAUUAUGAAAGAUCCAGAUUAUGAAUUCAGAUUAUGAAUUGAUUCCAGAUUAUGAAUUGAUUCAGAUUAUGAUUAUGAUUCCAGAUUAUGAAAGCAUCAGCCUGGACUCCAUGAAUAAAUUUUUUUCGAGAAUCUUAUACUUCAGAAACCCCGUGGAAAUCUGAGACAUUUCCCUGAGGCCAAUCCAGUCUAUUAAUAAAAAUACAUAAUUUGGAAAGACGCUAAUGACUGACAGACAUUUGACUAAUAGACAUUUUUUUGGGUCAACAGAUGACGCCACAUUUUCAUUCUAGUAGAACACAAAGUGACGGGGCGAAAUAAGCCCUUCCACAGACUGCCCAUCCCUGCCGAGGAAUCAGCCGGAUUGUGGAAGACGCGGAUCGAAGUGCCGGGCCCGCA
Molecule: long non-coding RNA, 1370 nt
Filed under: Androctonus crassicauda
Lineage: Eukaryota; Metazoa; Arthropoda; Arachnida; Scorpiones; Buthidae
Source: RNAcentral